Molecule: ribosomal RNA, 385 nt
Filed under: Xylaria sp. E12517A
Lineage: Eukaryota; Fungi; Ascomycota; Sordariomycetes; Xylariales; Xylariaceae
Description: SSU rRNA
Rfam family: Eukaryotic small subunit ribosomal RNA
Source: RNAcentral
GGGAGCCCUAUGCCCUUCACUGGGUGUAGUGGGGAACCAGGACUUUUACUGUGAAAAAAUUAGAGUGUUCAAAGCAGGCCUAUGCUCGAAUACAUCAGCAUGGAAUAAUAGAAUAGGACGUGUGGUUCUAUUUUGUUGGUUUCUAGGACCGCCGUAAUGAUUAAUAGGGACAGUCGGGGGCAUCAGUAUUCAAUUGUCAGAGGUGAAAUUCUUGGAUUUAUUGAAGACUAACUACUGCGAAAGCAUUUGUCAAGGAUGUUUUCAUUAAUCAGGAACGAAAGUUAGGGGAUCGAAGACGAUCAGAUACCGUCGUAGUCUUAACCAUAAACUAUGCCGACUAGGGAUCGGACGAUGUUAUUUUUUGACUCGUUCGGCACCUUACGAG